AGCAGCCGCGGUAAUUCCAGCUCCAAUAGCGUAUAUUAAAGUUGUUGCAGUUAAAAAGCUCGUAGUUGAAUUUCGGGGUCGGUAGGUUGGUCGUGCCACUGGUAUGCACUGGUCUCACUGAUUCCUCCUUCCUGAUGAACCGUAAUGCCAUUAAUUUGGUGUUGCGGGGAAUCAGGACUGUUACUUUGAAAAAUUAGAGUGUUUAAAGCAGGCUCGCGCUUGAAUACAUUAGCAUGGAAUAGUGAAAUAGGACGUUUGAUCCUAUUUUGUUGGUUUCUAGGAUUGACGUAAUGAUUAAUAGGGAUAGUUGGGGGCAUUAGUAUUCAAUUGUCAGAGGUGAAAUUCUUGGAUUUAUUGAAGCUAACUACUGCGAAAGCAUUUGCCAAGGAUGUUUUCAUUAAUCAAGAACGAAAGUUAGGGGAUCGAAGAC
This 430-nucleotide ribosomal RNA is filed under the name uncultured Glomus. Its description in RNAcentral is "SSU rRNA". It matches the Rfam family "Eukaryotic small subunit ribosomal RNA", at positions 569 to 1005 of the family's 1831-position model. Lineage: Eukaryota; Fungi; Glomeromycota; Glomeromycetes; Glomerales; Glomeraceae. The record is from RNAcentral.